GACGAACGCUGGCGGCGUGCUUAACACAUGCAAGUCGAACGGAAAGGCCCUGCUUUUGUGGGGUGCUCGAGUGGCGAACGGGUGAGUAACACGUGAGUAACCUGCCCUUGACUUUGGGAUAACUUCAGGAAACUGGGGCUAAUACCGGAUAGGAGCUCCUGCUGCAUGGUGGGGGUUGGAAAGUUUCGGCGGUUGGGGAUGGACUCGCGGCUUAUCAGCUUGUUGGUGGGGUAGUGGCUUACCAAGGCUUUGACGGGUAGCCGGCCUGAGAGGGUGACCGGCCACAUUGGGACUGAGAUACGGCCCAGACUCCUACGGGAGGCAGCAGUGGGGAAUAUUGCACAAUGGGUGGAAGCCUGAUGCAGCAACGCCGCGUGCGGGAUGACGGCCUUCGGGUUGUAAACCGCUUUCGCCUGUGACGAAGCGUGAGUGACGGUAAUGGGUAAAGAAGCACCGGCUAGCUACGUG
RNAcentral lists this ribosomal RNA (468 nucleotides) under uncultured bacterium. Its description in RNAcentral is "partial 16S ribosomal RNA". It matches the Rfam family "Bacterial small subunit ribosomal RNA", at positions 28 to 507 of the family's 1533-position model. The record is from RNAcentral.